RNAcentral lists this ribosomal RNA (957 nucleotides) under Klebsiella ornithinolytica. Its description in RNAcentral is "Raoultella ornithinolytica partial 16S ribosomal RNA". Lineage: Bacteria; Pseudomonadati; Pseudomonadota; Gammaproteobacteria; Enterobacterales; Enterobacteriaceae. The record is from RNAcentral.
GCAGAAGAAGCACNGGNUANNUNCNUGCCNGCAGCNGCGGUAAUNNNGAGGGUNCNAGCGUUANNNNGAAUUACNNGGCNUAANGCGCACGCNGGCGGUCUGUUAAGUNAGAUGUGAANUCCCCGGGCUCNACNUGGGAACUGCAUUUGAAACNGGCAGGCUUGAGUNNGUAGAGGGGGGUAGANUUCCAGGUGUAGCGNNGAANUGCGUAGAGAUCNGGAGGAAUACCGGUGGCGAAGGCGGCCCCCUGGACAAAGACUGACGNUCAGGUGCGAAAGCNNNNNGAGCAAACAGGAUNAGAUACCCUGGUAGUCCACGCUGUAAACGAUGUCGACUUGGAGGUUGUUCCCNUGAGGAGUGGCUUCCGGAGCUAACGCGUUAAGUCGACCGCCUGGGGAGUACGGCCGCAAGGUUAAAACUCAAAUGAAUUGACGGGGGCCCGCACAAGCGGUGGAGCAUGUGGUUUAAUUCGAUGCAACGCGAAGAACCUUACCUACUCUUGACAUCCAGAGAACUUAGCAGAGAUGCUUUGGUGCCUUCGGGAACUCUGAGACAGGUGCUGCAUGGCUGUCGUCAGCUCGUGUUGUGAAAUGUUGGGUUAAGUCCCGCAACGAGCGCAACCCUUAUCCUUUGUUGCCAGCGRUUCGGNCGGGAACUCAAAGGAGACUGCCAGUGAUAAACUGGAGGAAGGUGGGGAUGACGUCAAGUCAUCAUGGCCCUUACGAGUAGGGCUACACACGUGCUACAAUGGCAUAUACAAAGAGAAGCGACCUCGCGAGAGCAAGCGGACCUCAUAAAGUAUGUCGUAGUCCGGAUUGGAGUCUGCAACUCGACUCCAUGAAGUCGGAAUCGCUAGUAAUCGUAGAUCAGAAUGCUACGGUGAAUACGUUCCCGGGCCUUGUACACACCGCCCGUCACACCAUGGGAGUGGGUUGCAAAAGAAGUAGGUAGCUUAAC